CAGCAGCCACGGUAAAACGUAGGGUGCAAGCGUUAAUCGGAAUUACUGGGCGUAAAGCGUGCGCAGGCGGUUUGUUAAGUCAGAUGUGAAAUCCCCGAGCUUAACUUGGGAACUGCAUUUGAAACUGGCAAGCUAGAGUCUUGUAGAGGGGGGUAGAAUUCCAGGUGUAGCGGUGAAAUGCGUAGAGAUCUGGAGGAAUACCGGUGGCGAAGGCGGCCCCCUGGACAAAGACUGACGCUCAGGUGCGAAAGCGUGGGGAGCAAACAGGAUUAGAUACCCCUGUAGUCCCUGUCUCUUAUAC
Molecule: ribosomal RNA, 301 nt
Filed under: uncultured bacterium
Lineage: Bacteria
Description: partial 16S ribosomal RNA
Rfam family: Bacterial small subunit ribosomal RNA
Source: RNAcentral